GAGGGGUCCCUGCGCGAGGCCUGCGACUCCGGCAUGUACACCAUGGUCACCAUGUCUUUCCUCGACGUCUUUGGCGCCAAAGGAAAGUACCACCUCGACCUCUCCGGCCACGACCUCUCCGCCGUCGGCGCCGACAUCAAGCACUGCCAGUCCAAGGGCGUCCCCGUCUCCCUCUCCGUUGGCGGCUACGGCACCGGCUACUCGCUCCCGUCCAACCGCUCCGCGCUCGACCUCUUCGACCACCUCUGGAACUCCUACUUGGGCGGGUCCAACCCUGGCGUGCCCCGCCCCUUUGGCGACGCGUGGCUCGACGGCAUCGACCUCUUCCUGGAGCACGGCACGCCGGCGGACCGCUACGACGUGCUGGCGCUGGAGCUGGCGAAGCACAACAUCCGCGGCGGCCCGGGGAAGCCGCUGCACCUGACGGCGACGGUCCGGUGCGGGUACCCGCCGGCGGCGCACGUGGGGCGGGCGCUGGCGACGGGGAUCUUGGAGCGCGUGCACGUGAGGAUCUACGAGGAGAGCGACAAGGCGUGCAACCAGUACGGGGCGUGGGAGGAGGCGUGGGACAGGUGGACGGCGGCGUACCCGGCCACCCGGUUCUUCAUCGGGCUCACCGCCGACGAGAAGUCGUACCAGUGGAUACACCCCAAGAACGUCUACUACGGCAUCACGCCGGUGGUGCAGAAGAAGGACAACUACGGCGGGGUCAUGCUCUGGGACCGAUACUUCGACAAGCAGAGCGACUACAGUAGCUACAUCAAGUACUACGCCUGAUCGGAGUUAUACUUUCACAAGCCACGCUGUUGCAUGCAUCACCGUCGAUUUGAUUUCGAUGUGUUGUUGCAAACUUGCAAGCGAGAAUAAAGUGAGGCUUGUACUACUUGGGUAAAUAAAUAAUUGACCAGCUGGUCGUACGUA
RNAcentral lists this long non-coding RNA (921 nucleotides) under Triticum aestivum (bread wheat). RNAcentral describes it as "long non-coding RNA (TAES_LNC009846)". The record is from RNAcentral. Lineage: Eukaryota; Viridiplantae; Streptophyta; Magnoliopsida; Poales; Poaceae.